RNAcentral lists this long non-coding RNA (3976 nucleotides) under Homo sapiens (human). Its description in RNAcentral is "HSALNT0129365". The record is from RNAcentral. Lineage: Eukaryota; Metazoa; Chordata; Mammalia; Primates; Hominidae.
CCCAGGGAAAAGGAGAGCCAGGCUUAGGGCCCAUGGCAAAAGUCAGGAAAUUUCAUGAUCCGACUGGAAUCCAGGAAAAUCACAGCUGAAAUACAAAACAUCAGCCCUUAUCUCCAGCACUGUACAUGGCAGAAACUGCUUUUAUUCUAGAUGUCUAGAUCCAGAUCAACUGCAUGGGGUCCUACAGGAGAAGACCAAGAGACAGAGACAGAGACCAGGGAAAAUGACCGAUACCAUUCCUUCUCAGGGAUGCUACACACCCAUGGGGCAGAGGAUAAGAGGUUCCUGAAGGCAUCACCCCUCUGGCCAUGGCUGGUGUGCAGACAAAGCUGGAGAUUUGGAGUAGCCUGUUGUCCCACUGACUCUUAGACUGCCCCAGCUAAGAAGAACCAACUCCUCCUAUUACAGAUGAAAUAAACAAAGCUACUCAAGCUCUCUGGCAUCGCCCUGACGGUCAUCAUGUGCUUCACAUUUCCCUCCUGCCCCCCCUGAUUUUCUGGAAAAGGGAGAAAGUGUGUGAAAAAAAAUGGACAAUAACUUCUGUUAACUUUGUAGAUGUCUGGUUCCUCCAUAUGAGGCUGUGCUUGAAUCAAUUUUGGAGAGAGGGUUUCUAAAGUCUCUCUAGAUUCUAUUAAUUUUGAUAGAGACAAUAAAAGGCAGCAGGACCAACUCUGUGUGGUGGGAGAUCUAGCAACCAUUAUAGUCACAAUAGCCACCACUUACUGAACACCCACCAUGUGACAAAGAACAAAUGUGCAUGAAUUAUGUCACAUUUUUCACAAGCACCCCUUGAGUUGGGAGUUCACUCAUGAGGCAACUGAGGUUCAGGGAGAUGAAGUAACUCACCCUGUAGGUAGGAGGGCUGAGAUCUGGACGUAGAUCUUUCCUCCAAAGCUUUGUCUUUUUUUUUCUACUAUAGCACACCAAAGAGAGUUCUAGAAAAAAUGAGAAUAAGAAAUUUACCUGUAAUCCUUGCUCAAGAAACUGAAGCUCUGAGGCCACAUUGUUCCAGCCUUUUGCAGCUCCUGCAUGUGGAUACCAGCACCAGCAGCUCCCCGACCAGGGGCCCCAGCUAAGCCCUCCCAGAGGAUGAUCUUGGCUUUGUACAUGGGGUGUCAAUAUCCUGUGAGUCCAACAGAGGGAAGACAUAAGAAUAUGGUCACCCAGGUUUUGUACAGAGGAAAUCCAGGCUCCUAACGAUGGCGAAAGAUGGGAAUAAAAGGAUCAGAACACUGAGCUGGAUCUUCAGUUCAUUUCAGGUAUGGAGAAGGGUAAAUGGUCUUUAAAGAAGGCCGACCUCAAUGAAGGUGUCUUCCAAGGCCUUGUCCACUCAAGGACAUGUUGCAUGCCUGAAACUGAGUAUACAGGAAAAGGAUAGAAAUGGAAUAAAAUGGAAACCCAUAAAUCACACUACCCUGCUAUGCAGUUUCAAACCACUGACUUAAUGAAAUGUUGAUCCACUUUGCCAUGGAUGCCCCACUUUUUAACUCCUUCUUCAGAGUCCCAGGAGGUGAGGCUCUUCUGUUUAACUGAUUUGCAGAAUUUUUGCUUCUGCUAUUACAAUGGCUUCCAUAGUUGAGUACCAAAGACACUUUACUAUGGUGCCACAGAGAUCAUUUUGCAGAUGAGGAAACAGACUGUUCUACUACCCAGGCUUUGGUUUUUUCUACUCAGUCUUGCACAAUCUCUCACUCUCAGCCCAGAACAUUGCUGCAUUUUUGUGAGCCAUCAGCAUCCAAAGUGAACACAGGGUCUAAAUAACUGAAGAUGGCAUGAGGGAACACACAAUCAGGUCUUUAAAAAAAGAAGAAAGUGAAUAGGCAAACUGAACAGGACAUCUAGGACUGAAAAGCCUCUGUGAACAACUGGACUCAAUAUGAAAUUGGCGUGAGCUCACAGAAGACCAGCUGAGUUCCAGAUGUGGUUGGGUAGCUUGGGUUAUGGGCCCGUAUAAAAAAAAUGGUCUCUUCUUGUAAAAGGAAUUCAAAAAAAGACUAAAAGUCACCCCAAAGAGUCACUGUCUUUGUCUUUUGGCCAUUAGUAAGUCAGAAGAGACCUCUAGAGGAGACUGGAUUUUGUGGCUGAUUAUCGAUUAAUUGAUCAUCACUGGGUAUCUUUGGGAGUGUUGCCUUCUCAGGGAGAAGCUGAAAAUCAUUCUGUGAAAGGUAUGUCCACUGACAAUCAUUUAAGCUCUUUGGAGGCAAGAAAUCAGGUAUCUGGGAGAACUCAGAGAUAACAUAGGAGCGACAGGCUGAAACCAUGAGCGAGAUGGGCAGAUGGCUUGAGAAUGACGAUGGGCAGAGGAGAGCAGUGGCAGGGAGAACCCACAGGCCUCUACUUGGAGUCAGCCUGUCAGCAGGAUAAGCUACAAGAUCACCCUCGAGGGAAACUGCAGGCCAGGUCAGGGGCACUGCAAGCUGCAGGUGUGCCCAGGCAGGAGGGCAGGUGGCCUGUGAUGAGGGGCCAUGACUGUGUGGUGGGCUCUCCCACACCAGGAGCAACUAGACACUAGACUGAAAGUUCUUUUAAGUGAGGGAGCCAUCUUCUGUCCAGGGAAAAGUGGUUCGGGAUACAGGAGGAGCCCUGCACCACAGAAUCGGUCUAGUCUCAGGCUGUCUGUUCCACAGGAGCCUCCAGCCCAGUGAUGUAGGCAGCUAUUCACAACCACAUCAUGGCACAAAGUGAGGCCUCCCAAUCCACAGCCAUCCCUGAUUACAGACACUUCACUGGAUGUCUGAACAUAGCUGUGUGUGCCUGGAAAGCCUAGAAAUAGAAACGCUCCUUUUUUCCCCAAGACGAUCAUCUCUACAUCCUGACCUGGAUCAACAGUGAUCCAUUCUGGACAAUCCUGGACACUCCUGCUCCUGGAGAGAAGGGAUAGAUAACUUUUCCACCUGCCUGCCUGUCCUGUCCACCUCGAGGUGGUCUUGUGGCAUCUUGGGCCUCACAUGUCCCAUAGUCUCUUCUCAUCCCUCCAAUUUGCUCCUUCUCCAGACUUCUCUCUCUUGGUUGAGUGGUUCCACCAUUUUCCCAAGUUGCUUGGACCCAACACUUGAGUUACAGCCAACUCCUCUCUUUCUCUCACAACCCAAAUCUAAUUCAUCAGUAAGUCCUGGUGGCUCCACAUUCGGAAUGUUCCUGGGAUGCCACCACUUUUUGUCAUCUCUGUUACUGCUAGCCUGCCCCUUGCUACUGUCAGCUCCAGCCUGGAGGACUGAAAUAACCUCCUCACUGUCUCCAGCUGUUCUUCCCGCCCAUGGUCUAUUCCCCAGACACCACCAGAGGGAUGCUUUGAAGUCCAGAUGGCAUCAUGUCAUUUAGAAUGAAACCUGAGGUCCCAAGUGUGGCCCGAGGGAUGGUCAGGUUGCCCCCAGGGCUCCAUUUCCUGCCACUCUUCCUCUCUCUCACUCUGCUGGAGCCACAUGGUUACUAUUCCUGAACACAGGAGGCUCCCUCCUGCUUCAGGUCUCGUGCAGAUUUGUUCCCACAGCCUGGGGACAGAUUUUAUCCCAGAAGUUCCCAGGGCUUGAUUCCUCCCUUUAUUUAGUUCUCAGCUGAAAUGUCCCCUCUUCUGAGCAGCCUUCUCUCACCACCCGAUGGAAGCAGCCGUCCCUGCACGCUCUAUCACUUCACUCGGCUCUAUUUUUCUUCCUAACACGUUCACAACUUGACAUUCUUUUAUAAUUUUUCACUUAUUUAUUGAGUGCUGUCUCUUCCACUAGAACCCCUGAAAGCAGGGAUUUUUAUAAUCUUUUGGCCACCACUAGAUUCAUAAGGAUGCACAGAGCCUGGUAGGCUGCAGGCUGUCCAUAACUGCUUGUUGAAUGAAUCGAUGGAUGAAUGAUCAGCAGAAGCUCGUUUCUCUCCAUGAAAUACAACGGGUUCCAAAGAAAUCGAAGCCUUUUUGAAAGGCCUAGCCAUACUUCACCCAUACAGCUGCAGUGGCAGAUCCAUGCUCAUGACCUCAUUUCUCUCC